RNAcentral lists this ribosomal RNA (443 nucleotides) under uncultured bacterium. RNAcentral describes it as "partial 16S ribosomal RNA". It matches the Rfam family "Bacterial small subunit ribosomal RNA", at positions 338 to 795 of the family's 1533-position model. The record is from RNAcentral.
CCUACGGGAGGCUGCAGUGGGGAAUAUUGGGCAAUGGGCGCAAGCCUGACCCAGCAACGCCGCGUGAAGGAAGAAGGCUUUCGGGUUGUAAACUUCUUUUCUCAGGGACGAAGAAAGUGAAGGUACCUGAGGAAUAAGCCACGGCUAAUUACGUGCCAGCGGCCGUGGUAAUACGUAGGUGGCAAGGGUUAUCCGGAUUUAUCGGGUGUAAAGGGCGUGUAGGCGGGAGCGCAAGUAAGAUGUGAAAACUCAGGGCUCAACCGUGAACCUGCAUUUGAUACUGUGUUUCUUGAGUGCUGGGGAGGCAAUCGGAAUGCCGGGUGUAGCGGUGAAAUGCGUAGAUAUACGGAGGAACACCAGUUGCGAAGGCGGAUUGCUGGACAGUAACUGACGCUGAGGCGCGAAAGCGUGGGGAGCAAACAGGAUUAGAUACCCUGGUAGUC